CCCAUCUCCGAGCUCAUCUCAUCUCGAAGCUCUCUCUUCUCCAUAGCAUCUUGAGCUCGACCAAAGCCAUCUCAUCCUUUUCUCGCUGAGUCUUGAUGAAAUGGGCAGGAGGCUAAGAAACCAGAUAUUGAGAAGUGCUUAGAGGUUGUUGCCACUUUGGAAGCAAGGACGGUACUGGUGAGCUUUCAAAGCAAACAACGGUUCAAGCAACAGAAGUGGCGUCAAGCUUGGUGGAGACAAUACAAGGAGCUUGCAGGCUAGGAGGUUGCUUCAAGGCUAUGGUUUUGAUGGGUAUAUGAU
Long non-coding RNA from Brassica napus (rape), 300 nucleotides. RefSeq lists it as uncharacterized. Lineage: Eukaryota; Viridiplantae; Streptophyta; Magnoliopsida; Brassicales; Brassicaceae. The record is from RefSeq and is a predicted model, not a curated record. The transcript has 3 exons.